AGUGAACGCUGGCGGUAGGCCUAACACAUGCAAGUCGAACGGCAGCACAGUCAGAGCUUGCUCUUACGGGUGGCGAGUGGCGGACGGGUGAGGAAUACAUCGGCAUCUACUUUUUCGUGGGGGAUAACGUAGGGAAACUUACGCUAAUACCGCAUACGACCUACGGGUGAAAGCAGGGGAUCUUCGGACCUUGCGCGAUUGAAUGAGCCGAUGUCGGAUUAGCUAGUUGGCGGGGUAAAGGCCCACCAAGGCGACGAUCCGUAGCUGGUCUGAGAGGAUGAUCAGCCACACUGGAACUGAGACACGGUCCAGACUCCUACGGGAGGCAGCAGUGGGGAAUAUUGGACAAUGGGCGCAAGCCUGAUCCAGCCAUACCGCGUGGGUGAAGAAGGCCUUCGGGUUGUAAAGCCCUUUUGUUGGGAAAGAAAAGCAGCAGGUUAAUACCCCGCUGUUCUGACGGUACCCAAAGAAUAAGCACCGGCUAACUUCGUG
This 492-nucleotide ribosomal RNA is filed under the name uncultured bacterium. RNAcentral's name for it is "partial 16S ribosomal RNA". It matches the Rfam family "Bacterial small subunit ribosomal RNA", at positions 29 to 507 of the family's 1533-position model. The record is from RNAcentral.